RNAcentral lists this long non-coding RNA (590 nucleotides) under Rattus norvegicus (Norway rat). Its description in RNAcentral is "long non-coding RNA NONRATT024964". The record is from RNAcentral. Lineage: Eukaryota; Metazoa; Chordata; Mammalia; Rodentia; Muridae.
GAGGCACAAGUCUGCAUCCCUGAUAUCAUCAGGCUGGAGGGCUAUUGAGGCCUUAAAGGCUGCAUAGUGAAUUCAAAUUCAGCCUGGACUAUAUCGUGAGUCUGUCAGGAAAGGGGGCAGAGAAUCGGGAAACAACAGCAACUUUUGCUAAGGUCCAAACAGGCCUCAGCUUAGGUUGCAUCUCUGGACCAAGGCAGUGGCCUUCGCCAGCAUCUUCCCUCUCCUGAGAACAGCUGCCAGCCCAUGAAUCCUCAGAGCACAACCUACAUUACAGUAUCUCAGGAACCAAGGAAGAAUGGUCACUGAGACCGUCCCCACACCCACAGUCCUUUGCCGUCCCCUGCAAAUGAUUCCAUGAACUUGUGACUUGACAAGAGUGCCUUUGAGUGCUCAGUGGGGAGACUUGUGCUACGGUGGGAGCCCAGAGCCUUGGAGUGUCUGCUAGUCAGCUGAGGGUUGGGUCAAAACCUCCCAGAGCUAGCACCUGUAUCUUACUAGAGCCCAAAUGACUGCUUUUGCUAUGAAAAUGAAAGCUGUUUCUAUUUUAAUAACGCGAAUAUUAAAAAUGCUUAUUUUAAAAGAGGUUAAAA